CCUACGGGAGGCAGCAGUGGGGAAUUUUGGACAAUGGGGGCAACCCUGAUCCAGCAAUGCCGCGUGAGUGAAGAAGGCCUUCGGGUUGUAAAGCUCUUUUGUCAGGGAAGAAACGGUGUUUCCUAAUACGGAAUGCUAAUGACGGUACCUGAAGAAUAAGCACCGGCUAACUACGUGCCAGCAGCCGCGGUAAUACGUAGGGUGCAAGCGUUAAUCGGAAUUACUGGGCGUAAAGCGUGCGCAGGCGGUUUUAUAAGUCUGAUGUGAAAUCCCCGGGCUCAACCUGGGAACUGCAUUGGAGACUGUAAGGCUAGAGUGUGUCAGAGGGGGGUAGAAUUCCACGUGUAGCAGUGAAAUGCGUAGAUAUGUGGAGGAAUACCGAUGGCGAAGGCAGCCCCCUGGGAUAACACUGACGCUCAUGCACGAAAGCGUGGGGAGCAAACAGGAUUAGAUACCCUGGUAGUCCACGCCCUAAACGAUGUCCACUAGUUGUCGGGUCUUAAAUUGACUUGGUAACGCAGCUAACGCGUGAAGUAGACCGCCUGGGGAGUACGGUCGCAAGAUUAAAACUUAAAUGAAUUGACGGNUGAGCGNGCGAGACGACGACGAGGAGAGG
This 616-nucleotide ribosomal RNA is filed under the name uncultured bacterium. Its description in RNAcentral is "bacterial SSU rRNA". It matches the Rfam family "Bacterial small subunit ribosomal RNA", at positions 338 to 946 of the family's 1533-position model. The record is from RNAcentral.